RNAcentral lists this unclassified non-coding RNA (609 nucleotides) under Hevea brasiliensis (rubber tree). Lineage: Eukaryota; Viridiplantae; Streptophyta; Magnoliopsida; Malpighiales; Euphorbiaceae. The record is from RNAcentral.
GCAGGUGCUUAUUGUUGCAUCAAGUCUUCCACUCUAUAUUGUCUUCUUUCUCUAUAUUUCUUCCUAGUUAUCAUGCUGGAAUAUUUUGAUGUGUUGUUUUCAUGUGUUGCCUUGCAAUUAAGAACUUAUGAUGAAAAGUACCAUUUCACCUUUAGAGAAACAUAGGAUUGUCUGAUAAACAAACCAUGCUGACCUGCCUUAUGGUUAUCAACAGAUCAUGAACAAUGAUCUGUAAAAUGGCAUUAUGAAAUCUGAAAUUGUAAGCAUUUAAGAUUUGUCAACCAUAAGUUUCCAAUGUGCUCAGGUAACAGUAUUUUGUCAUUUGUUGCAGCAGAAUAUCUUGUGCACUGAAAAUUUAAUUGUUGUCAAUUUGUUAUUGAUGUGAUUUUGGGCCAUUUUCAUUUCUUUUUCUGCAAUGGUUGAAGACCGACCAGUUGAUGGGUCCACUGAAUGUGAGGGCAGCACUGCAGAUCAAGUCCAAGAUGCUGCUCAAGAACAAACCCAAGCCACUUCUCCAGUGCAGCGCAAUAAGCAGAAGGAAAUCAAAGCAAAACCACAAACAUGCAAAGAACACAAGAGUAAAAUUCUGUCUAAGAGGCAAAGCCUUGC